This is a long non-coding RNA of Homo sapiens (human), 2157 nucleotides long. Ensembl annotates it as small nucleolar RNA host gene 7. Its record names the gene SNHG7. The record is from Ensembl. Lineage: Eukaryota; Metazoa; Chordata; Mammalia; Primates; Hominidae.
CUCUGCGUGCGCCGGAGGCUGCCGUGGCGGGUGGGCCGCCUGACUUCUCCUCCCGGCCAGUUCUCGAGCGCCUCACCGGGCCUCGCCCUGCAGCCUCGCUCUCGCUGGCGCUGCGCGGCCUAGGGGACUGGGCUGCUGGCCUCCGGGUGCGGGGUGGGGGCAGGCUCCGACCUGGGGCGUCCUGGCCGCGCGAGCCGCGGGAUGGGGGCCCGGGCCGCGGAGGAGGCGCCGCUGGUGUGUCCCUUGGUGGAGAGGGCGCUGCCGGCCCUGCGCGGUUUCCAGCCAGGAAGCUUCGGGAAGCCUGGACGUCUGCUCACUGGAGAUGACACGUGCGUGGGGUGUUGGGUAAGUUGGUGCAUUGGAGCUGGAACAGGGUCAAUCCUCCAAUGUAACUAAGCCCUCCUGUGCAACAUCUUAAGUGACUGGAGGGACCAGUCGGUCUUGUGUUCACAUUGAGGCUAGAAGCUGUCUCCAGGGGAGUAAAAACGGAUUAUUUAGUCUUCAACAGGACACUGCCCCUAGAGGCGUUGCAGCUGUGGCUGCCGUGUCACAUCUGUGUCAUUAGGUGGCAGAGAUUAGAGAGGCUAUGUCUACGCUCAGCGUUCUGCCCCGUGAACGUUUGAAUGUUUGAUAGUCUCACACUCCUGUUUUGUGGACAGGCAUCUGUUUUCCUUCGCUGGUAUCUGGGAGAGAGGGUGGGCCCUGUGAGUGGGCUUUCUAACUCUCGCGCUGGGCUAGGCUGGCCUCUAGGGGUCUGAAGGGAUAGUGGGAAGGUGGAGGGUGCCUUCACCAGGAGCAGCCUUCAUGAGUGAGUUUUAAGAACCUGUGAGGAUCGGUCAGGUCAGGUGAGGUACGCGCUGGAUCAUGCCGUACACCGUGUCAGGAUCACGCAGGACAGGACUGGGGAAGGGUUUGCUGGCGUCUCGGUUAAUAGCAGUAACGGCAGCCGCUUGUGUUCUUGAUUCUUUGCCAAGCAUUCUUGUUAUUUAACACGGGAAGGAGGUGACUUCGCCUGUGAUGGACUUCCAGUGUGAGCACUGGCCAGAGUGACCAGGCUGACCAGCACCAGCCCUGAUCCAGGUAAGAGGUGAGGCGGAGGCUUGCCCUCCUUCCCUGCCUGCCGGGUGCGUGUGAGCGGCUGCCCUGCGGAUGCUGUCCUGGACCUGUUGGCACCACAGACAGUUGCUCUGCUGUGCCUGUGGCCUCGGGGCAAAGAGAAAGUGGCGAUUUCUACACUCAGUGCUCGGGAACCAGUGGGCACUGAGAAUGGUUUAUGGCCUGACAUUACUUGCAACCAAAGCCAGGCAGCAUUUGGAUUUUCGCUUUUGGAAACCACCUUACCUGGUUUGCUCCAUGAGGGAGGGGCAGCAACAUCGCUGGGAACCCUGAGGUGUAGAUAUGUAUAAAUGAGCUGUGUGUGUAUCUGAAGCUCGGGCACUUGUGGGGUUACCAGGAGUGUGCGUCUCACUCCCAGGCCUCGUUCUGGAAACGAUUCUGUAGGUCUGUCUGGGAGGCCUUAGGCAAGUUUGAUUAAGAACAGUCGAGCUGGAUAAACAGGCUGUUCCUUGUCCAGCACUAGUCAUCCCAGGGGGGCGGGGGCGGGGCUGCAACUCCUGUGCACAAAGGAAGGGCCCUGGGUAGGGGUCAGGAGCUGCCUUGCCCAGAGAUGUGUCUGGGUCACUUUGGAAACAGGAAUCCUCUCCCCAAAAUGGGUAGCAAUGGGGGUACAGAGGCCAAAGACGCAGCUGCAUGUCCUGCAGUGCCUGGGACGCCCCGUAGUGAAGAGUGAUGUGGCCCAAAUGUCAGCAGUGCCAGUGUCAGACUCCUGCUAAGAGACAGUAUCAAGAAAGAUAACUUCAAAAUACACUUUCUGGAGGCCUGGCGCGGUGGCUCAGGCCUGUAAUCCCAGCACUCUGGGAGGCCAAUGCAUGUGGAUCACCUGAGGUCAGGAGUUCGAGACCAGCCUGGCCAACUGCCUGAAACCCCAUCUCUACUAAAAAUACAAAAAUUAGCCAGGUGUGGUGGCGCAAGCCUGUAAUCCCAGCUAUUUGGGAGGCUGAGGCAGGAGAAUCGCUUGAACCCGGGAGGCAGAGGUUGCAGUGAGCCGAGAUCGCACCACUGCACUCCAGCCUGGACAACAGAGUGGGACUCUGUCUC